Molecule: ribosomal RNA, 2903 nt
Filed under: Escherichia coli
Lineage: Bacteria; Pseudomonadati; Pseudomonadota; Gammaproteobacteria; Enterobacterales; Enterobacteriaceae
Description: 23S ribosomal RNA
Rfam family: Bacterial large subunit ribosomal RNA
Source: RNAcentral
GGUUAAGCGACUAAGCGUACACGGUGGAUGCCCUGGCAGUCAGAGGCGAUGAAGGACGUGCUAAUCUGCGAUAAGCGUCGGUAAGGUGAUAUGAACCGUUAUAACCGGCGAUUUCCGAAUGGGGAAACCCAGUGUGUUUCGACACACUAUCAUUAACUGAAUCCAUAGGUUAAUGAGGCGAACCGGGGGAACUGAAACAUCUAAGUACCCCGAGGAAAAGAAAUCAACCGAGAUUCCCCCAGUAGCGGCGAGCGAACGGGGAGGAGCCCAGAGCCUGAAUCAGUGUGUGUGUUAGUGGAAGCGUCUGGAAAGGCGCGCGAUACAGGGUGACAGCCCCGUACACAAAAAUGCACAUAUUGUGAGCUCGAUGAGUAGGGCGGGACACGUGGUAUCCUGUCUGAAUAUGGGGGGACCAUCCUCCAAGGCUAAAUACUCCUGACUGACCGAUAGUGAACCAGUACCGUGAGGGAAAGGCGAAAAGAACCCCGGCGAGGGGAGUGAAAAAGAACCUGAAACCGUGUACGUACAAGCAGUGGGAGCACGCUUAGGCGUGUGACUGCGUACCUUUUGUAUAAUGGGUCAGCGACUUAUAUUCUGUAGCAAGGUUAACCGAAUAGGGGAGCCGAAGGGAAACCGAGUCUUAACUGGGCGUUAAGUUGCAGGGUAUAGACCCGAAACCCGGUGAUCUAGCCAUGGGCAGGUUGAAGGUUGGGUAACACUAACUGGAGGACCGAACCGACUAAUGUUGAAAAAUUAGCGGAUGACUUGUGGCUGGGGGUGAAAGGCCAAUCAAACCGGGAGAUAGCUGGUUCUCCCCGAAAGCUAUUUAGGUAGCGCCUCGUGAAUUCAUCUCCGGGGGUAGAGCACUGUUUCGGCAAGGGGGUCAUCCCGACUUACCAACCCGAUGCAAACUGCGAAUACCGGAGAAUGUUAUCACGGGAGACACACGGCGGGUGCUAACGUCCGUCGUGAAGAGGGAAACAACCCAGACCGCCAGCUAAGGUCCCAAAGUCAUGGUUAAGUGGGAAACGAUGUGGGAAGGCCCAGACAGCCAGGAUGUUGGCUUAGAAGCAGCCAUCAUUUAAAGAAAGCGUAAUAGCUCACUGGUCGAGUCGGCCUGCGCGGAAGAUGUAACGGGGCUAAACCAUGCACCGAAGCUGCGGCAGCGACACUAUGUGUUGUUGGGUAGGGGAGCGUUCUGUAAGCCUGCGAAGGUGUGCUGUGAGGCAUGCUGGAGGUAUCAGAAGUGCGAAUGCUGACAUAAGUAACGAUAAAGCGGGUGAAAAGCCCGCUCGCCGGAAGACCAAGGGUUCCUGUCCAACGUUAAUCGGGGCAGGGUGAGUCGACCCCUAAGGCGAGGCCGAAAGGCGUAGUCGAUGGGAAACAGGUUAAUAUUCCUGUACUUGGUGUUACUGCGAAGGGGGGACGGAGAAGGCUAUGUUGGCCGGGCGACGGUUGUCCCGGUUUAAGCGUGUAGGCUGGUUUUCCAGGCAAAUCCGGAAAAUCAAGGCUGAGGCGUGAUGACGAGGCACUACGGUGCUGAAGCAACAAAUGCCCUGCUUCCAGGAAAAGCCUCUAAGCAUCAGGUAACAUCAAAUCGUACCCCAAACCGACACAGGUGGUCAGGUAGAGAAUACCAAGGCGCUUGAGAGAACUCGGGUGAAGGAACUAGGCAAAAUGGUGCCGUAACUUCGGGAGAAGGCACGCUGAUAUGUAGGUGAAGCGACUUGCUCGUGGAGCUGAAAUCAGUCGAAGAUACCAGCUGGCUGCAACUGUUUAUUAAAAACACAGCACUGUGCAAACACGAAAGUGGACGUAUACGGUGUGACGCCUGCCCGGUGCCGGAAGGUUAAUUGAUGGGGUCAGCGCAAGCGAAGCUCUUGAUCGAAGCCCCGGUAAACGGCGGCCGUAACUAUAACGGUCCUAAGGUAGCGAAAUUCCUUGUCGGGUAAGUUCCGACCUGCACGAAUGGCGUAAUGAUGGCCAGGCUGUCUCCACCCGAGACUCAGUGAAAUUGAACUCGCUGUGAAGAUGCAGUGUACCCGCGGCAAGACGGAAAGACCCCGUGAACCUUUACUAUAGCUUGACACUGAACAUUGAGCCUUGAUGUGUAGGAUAGGUGGGAGGCUUUGAAGUGUGGACGCCAGUCUGCAUGGAGCCGACCUUGAAAUACCACCCUUUAAUGUUUGAUGUUCUAACGUGGACCCGUGAUCCGGGUUGCGGACAGUGUCUGGUGGGUAGUUUGACUGGGGCGGUCUCCUCCUAAAGAGUAACGGAGGAGCACGAAGGUUGGCUAAUCCUGGUCGGACAUCAGGAGGUUAGUGCAAUGGCAUAAGCCAGCUUGACUGCGAGCGUGACGGCGCGAGCAGGUGCGAAAGCAGGUCAUAGUGAUCCGGUGGUUCUGAAUGGAAGGGCCAUCGCUCAACGGAUAAAAGGUACUCCGGGGAUAACAGGCUGAUACCGCCCAAGAGUUCAUAUCGACGGCGGUGUUUGGCACCUCGAUGUCGGCUCAUCACAUCCUGGGGCUGAAGUAGGUCCCAAGGGUAUGGCUGUUCGCCAUUUAAAGUGGUACGCGAGCUGGGUUUAGAACGUCGUGAGACAGUUCGGUCCCUAUCUGCCGUGGGCGCUGGAGAACUGAGGGGGGCUGCUCCUAGUACGAGAGGACCGGAGUGGACGCAUCACUGGUGUUCGGGUUGUCAUGCCAAUGGCACUGCCCGGUAGCUAAAUGCGGAAGAGAUAAGUGCUGAAAGCAUCUAAGCACGAAACUUGCCCCGAGAUGAGUUCUCCCUGACUCCUUGAGAGUCCUGAAGGAACGUUGAAGACGACGACGUUGAUAGGCCGGGUGUGUAAGCGCAGCGAUGCGUUGAGCUAACCGGUACUAAUGAACCGUGAGGCUUAACCUU